RNAcentral lists this ribosomal RNA (256 nucleotides) under uncultured bacterium. Its description in RNAcentral is "partial 16S ribosomal RNA". It matches the Rfam family "Bacterial small subunit ribosomal RNA", at positions 524 to 776 of the family's 1533-position model. The record is from RNAcentral.
UACGUAGGCAGCGAGCGUUGUUCGGAGUUACUGGGCGUAAAGCGCGCGUAGGCGGACCUGCAAGUCGGGGGGUGAAAAGCCCGAGGCUCAACCCUCGGAACUGCCUUCGAUACUGCGGGUCUCGAGUCCGGGAGAGGUGAGUGGAAUUCCUAGUGUAGAGGUGAAAUUCGUAGAUAUUAGGAAGAACACCAGUGGCGAAGGCGGCUCACUGGCCCGGUACUGACGCUGAGGCGCGAAAGCGUGGGGAGCAAACAGG